RNAcentral lists this ribosomal RNA (34 nucleotides) under Colletotrichum sp. Ae-16. RNAcentral describes it as "partial 28S ribosomal RNA". Lineage: Eukaryota; Fungi; Ascomycota; Sordariomycetes; Glomerellales; Glomerellaceae. The record is from RNAcentral.
UUGACCUCGGAUCCAGUAGGAAUACCCCCCUAAA